UGUGCCUACGGGGCGCAGCAGUGAGGAAUAUUGGUCAAUGGGAGAGAUCCUGAACCAGCCAAGCCGCGUGAGGGAAGACGGCCCUAUGGGUUGUAAACCUCUUUUGUCGGAGAACAAAACCCGGGACGAGUCCCGGACUGCGUGUAUCCGAAGAAAAAGCAUCGGCUAACUCCGUGCCAGCAGCCGCGGUAAUACGUAUGGGGCAAGCGUUAUCCGGAUUUACUGGGUGUAAAGGGAGCGUAGGCGGCCUGGCAAGCCUGAUGUGAAAUACCGGGGCCCAACCCCGGGGCUGCAUUGGGAACUGC
This 305-nucleotide ribosomal RNA is filed under the name uncultured bacterium. RNAcentral describes it as "bacterial SSU rRNA". It matches the Rfam family "Bacterial small subunit ribosomal RNA", at positions 333 to 636 of the family's 1533-position model. The record is from RNAcentral.